This 77-nucleotide transfer RNA is filed under the name Acidimicrobiia bacterium. Its description in RNAcentral is "tRNA-Pro". It matches the Rfam family "tRNA". From Rfam's summary of the family: Transfer RNA (tRNA) molecules are approximately 80 nucleotides in length. Their secondary structure includes four short double-helical elements and three loops (D, anti-codon, and T loops). The record is from RNAcentral. Lineage: Bacteria; Bacillati; Actinomycetota; Acidimicrobiia. RNAcentral also lists the same sequence under 2 other names.
CGGGCUGUGGCGCAGUUUGGUAGCGCACUUGGCUGGGGGCCAAGGGGUCGUGGGUUCAAAUCCCGCCAGCCCGACCA